AGCCGCUUUGCAAAAGUUUGACAAAUUUCUGUCUUAAUAAACCGGAUAACAGAAGUGUGUACUUAAAAUAGGAAAUGAUAUAAUAAUCUACGUCCAUUUCAUGUGUUAGAAUAUCAUCUGAUGCUAGAACAUAUUAAAGGAUGAAAUUGAGUGAAUAUCUUGUACUUUUUUGUUUUCUGUUGUUUUAUAAAACACGAGGAGGACGUGGGGAUGUACCUGGAAAUGUACCAGAAAUAAACAAUAGUAGCAAAGAAUUUUUAGAGGUCCUUCAGAAAAUUAUUAGGGAGAGAGUGGAAGAACUUAUUGAAAAGAGGAGCGAGGAACUAUUUCUGAAGCUAGAAAGAAAGAUUAAAACCGUAAGCGAAACCAACAACCAGAUUAAAAAUAUCUUGCAUCAACAAGCUCCAAUAAUGUUUCAAUAUACAAGUUUCUACGCAGUUUUUAGUGAUGUUCAGAGCAAAGUUGCGAGAAAAAGUGACAAUUAUAUCUUCAACAGAAAAACUAAAUUGAUAAAUGAGACCGAACACGAGAUCAUUCAAUUUGUAAGUAAAAUGCGUUCGUACGUUUCCAAAACUACGACUGAUAUACAGACGGGAGUGUUACGAAGAUACAAGGAUAUAUUGAGUGAUGUGGAUGCAAUUUCUGUUAGUACAAGUGAGAUCCUUAGUUCUAGAGUAAACACAAUUGUCCAAAAUAUUUCCAACCUCGAAUUAGAGGUGGAACAAACGAUAGCUUUCUAUGCAACACUUUCCGACAAUGUUCCUCAGAGCGGUGAGAUAAUUAAAUUCGACAACAUUAUAACAAACUCUGGAAAUGGAUACUCCGUCACAGAAGGAUUGUUUACUGCUCCUAUUGAUGGAUUGUAUACUAUUCAUUGCUCAUUUCUUGUAGUCAAUGGUUAUGUAAAUAUAGAACUCAUGAGGAACUACAAUAAAAUAGGAAGAGGCUACGCAGCGGAAGGAAAACAUGAGAAUACUGGUUCCAUAUUUGUUACAACAGAUUUAAUGGAAGGCGACGAAGUACAUUGCCGUAAACUUCCCGAUUACAGUACAGGAAUAAUUCGCGGAGAUUUAUACACCACUUUUUCUGGAUACAUUUUAUAAAAGCUUAGGUAUGGGUACCCUAUAUGACUUUUAAUCUGGCAAGAUGUCUAUACUAUGUGUGUGACUUGAACAAUAUUUGUACGCCAUGACUAUGUCGAGAAUGUACAUACUCACUAUAUACACAUUUCCAUUCUAAAAAUAAAGUUGUUUGCAU
This 1257-nucleotide long non-coding RNA is filed under the name Mytilus galloprovincialis (Mediterranean mussel). The record is from RNAcentral. Lineage: Eukaryota; Metazoa; Mollusca; Bivalvia; Mytilida; Mytilidae.